CAAAAACAUCUCUUUUUGUUUAUAUAUAAAGUAUGACCUGCCCACUGAUUUAUUUGAAGGGCCGCGGUAACCUGACCGUGCAAAGGUAGCAUAAUCAUUAGUUUCUUAAUUAGAGGCUGGAAUGAAUGGUUGGACGAAAUAUGAGCUAUCUCAUUAUUUUUAUUAGAAUUUAAUUAUUAAGUAAAAAAGCUUAAAUAUUGUUAUGGGACGAGAAGACCCUAUAGAGUUUAAUAUUGUAAUUUUUAGAUUAGUUUUGUUUCGCAAUAUUAUAUUAUAAUUUUUUGUUGGGGUGACAGGAAGAUAUAAAUAACUCUUUUUAGAAUUGAUAUCUAUUAAUAGAU
This 341-nucleotide ribosomal RNA is filed under the name Blattella germanica (German cockroach). Its description in RNAcentral is "partial large subunit ribosomal RNA". Lineage: Eukaryota; Metazoa; Arthropoda; Insecta; Blattodea; Blattellidae. The record is from RNAcentral.